GAUGAAGAACGUAGCGAAAUGCGAUACGUUAUGUGAAUUGCAAAUUCAGUGAAUCAUCGAGUCUUUGAACGCACAUUGCGCCCCCUGGUAUUCCGGGGGGCAUGCCUGUCCGAGUGUCAUUGCUGCCCUCAAGCACGGCUUGUGUGUUGGGCCCCGUCCUCCGAUUCCGGGGGACGGGCCCGAAAGGCAGCGGCGGCACCGCGUCCGGUCCUCGAGCGUAUGGGGCUUUGUCACCCGCUCUGUAGGCCCGGCCGGCGCUUGCCGAUCAACCCAAAUUUUUAUCCAGGUUGACCUCGGAUCAGGUAGGGAUACCCGCUGAACUUAAGCAUAUCAAUAAGCGGAGGA
RNAcentral lists this unclassified non-coding RNA (345 nucleotides) under soil metagenome. RNAcentral describes it as "partial contains 5.8S ribosomal RNA, internal transcribed spacer 2, and large subunit ribosomal RNA". The stretch from base 1 to 119 matches the Rfam family "5.8S ribosomal RNA", at positions 35 to 154 of the family's 154-position model. The record is from RNAcentral.